AUGGGAGCUGCAGGGGUGGUGCCUGCGGGCGUGGGCAGCACACGGAGACACGCUGUCCCUCUCCCGUGCCGAGGUGUGCCAGCAGCCAGAGCAUGCACCUUACACCCCAACCUUCCCCCCAACCCCCUGUCCCGGGUCAGAAUCCUCCUCCUGCACCCAAACUCCCUUCGAAAGCCCACACCCCACCCUGCACCCCAACCUCUGCCCCAGUCUGGAGCCCCGUCCUGCACCGAAAACUCCUUCCCAGAGCCCGCACAUCAUACCCCCUGCACCCAACUCCCUGCCCCAAGUCAGAAUCCCCCUCCUGCACCCAAACUCCCUUUCAGAGCCCGCACCCCACCCUGCACCCCAACCCUCUGCCCCAGCCUGGAGCCCCGUCCUGCACCCAAAACUCCUUCCCAGAGCCCGCACAUCAUACCCCCUGAACCCAACCCCCUGCCCCAGCCCCGUCCUGCACCCAAAACUCCUUCCCAGAGCCCGCACAUCAUACCCCCUGAACCCAACCCCCUGCCCCAGCCCCCUCCUGCACCCAAAGUCCUUCCCAGAGCCUGCAUAUCAUACCCCCUGCACCCCAACCCCCUGCCCCAGCCCUCUCCUGCACCCAAAGUCCUUCCCAGAGCCUGCACAUCAUAACCCCUGCACCCCAACCCCCUGCCCCAGCCCCCUCCUGCACCCAAACUCCCUCCCAGAAAGAAACGACUAUAACGCUGUUCUAAGAUAAGACGUAGGCUAUUCUGAAUUCACGUAACUGUAUUCUACGUUUGAAGGCUGAAAUGUAACCCCAGAACGGCUUGACGUUAAUUAAAAGGCAAGUUGAAUACAGCAUUAGUAGCCUCGAUGCCACGACUGUGAUCAUUUCUUUUUAAAUUAGGAAAAAGACGUGAAUACAGGGGGCCCCACAAAAUCUAAAUGCCCUGGGCCCACAGGAGACUUAAUCUGACCCUGGGGAGAGCGCUAAGCGGGGCGGCGCGCAGCUGGAAGGCACCGGGUCGAUUAAAAGGGGCAGUUGACAGAAUGAGCUUGCGUCCAUCCUUGGGUCUGUUUUACUGCAGCUAGUGUUGGGUUAGAAGCCGUACCAGUGUGUAACAGAAACGGUUUAUCCAAGUCAUGUUCAAUAACAUGAUUGAAUCUCUUUACAAACUCAAAGUAAAACUUGGUUAGAACAAUAGUGGAUUGGAUCUGCUGUUGCAGCAGGAUUCCUGUAUGUCUCAUGGGAUCUUGCCAAGAGCUAAAGAACAUCAUACAGCUACUUUAUCCACACAAGCUCUGGCAAAUCUUUGGAACCCAAUUAAUAUCGGGACAAUGUUGUCCAUAGUACAGGAAUCUUGGCAUUUAGCCGUCAAAGCAAUAUGGUCGGGUGCCUCAGUUUCCCUUUUCCAUACAGCACAUCAGGUCUGGAAUGUCUUUUCCCCUGUGAAAAGUCCCAAUACUCGUUACAGGCACUAACUGUGAAACAUCAGCAUUACAAGGCUUUUUAACAGCAAGCGUGUCCUUAUGUACCACCCUUAGCACGUUUAAGGGAUUUGCCAAAAGAUUAGGCCCAUUGUACAUUUUCACAGUUUUUGGUAAUAGCAACACAUUAGUUACAAAACCCGUCAUUAGCAAUAACAACAAAUGUAUCGCAAGUGUCCAU
This 1633-nucleotide long non-coding RNA is filed under the name Gopherus agassizii (Agassiz's desert tortoise). RNAcentral describes it as "lncRNA (ENSGAGG00000016174.1)". Lineage: Eukaryota; Metazoa; Chordata; Testudines; Testudinidae. The record is from RNAcentral.